Rhipicephalus microplus (southern cattle tick) is the source of this 283-nucleotide long non-coding RNA. Lineage: Eukaryota; Metazoa; Arthropoda; Arachnida; Ixodida; Ixodidae. The record is from RefSeq and is a predicted model, not a curated record.
AUACCCGCUGUUCCGCUAAACCCAAUGGUUCGCAGGAAUAUCUCUGCAAAUAUGACACACAAUACGAACUGCUGGUGAGAUAUGAAAAUAUGACUGACGUUCCGGUGAACUGCAGUGAACGUUUUAAGAAACUAGUUGGAUCAAGAGAACUUAAUGAAAACAAAAAUCUAGCAGGUUGUGUGUGUAACUGCAGCCAGCGCAACGAUUUUAACUAAAAAUGCCGUAUCUCGUACAAUAUUGCAGAAAUGAGUUGUUUUAGGACAAUAAACCACGGCACACAACA